This 1339-nucleotide long non-coding RNA is filed under the name Anas zonorhyncha (Eastern spot-billed duck). Its description in RNAcentral is "lncRNA (ENSAZOG00000002315.1)". The record is from RNAcentral. Lineage: Eukaryota; Metazoa; Chordata; Aves; Anseriformes; Anatidae.
UCAGUGUGAUGUGUACUCACAACCUCCAGGUUGCCUGGACGCUCUUGCUGCCCGAGACUGUGAGCCUUAAAAUUAUUCUCCUGGCAUGCGUGUGAUUUUUUUUUCCACCUUCAGAGAGGAAUCUGGCCCUUUUCAAUCUCAUCUGUUAAUGAUCACUGGUCCUUCUAUCUUAGCGUCUGUAAAAACAUUAAUUGGGCAGACCACAUACAGCUAGGUAGGGAACAGCACAGGUGUCCUGCUGUGGGUACAGAGAGAUGUGGAAGGCCAGUGGAGAAUGUGCUCAUUAUUUAAGGCUCACUGAUAAUCGCAGGAAUUCUGUCAUGGUUGCCAGUUUUUAGAUUUGUGUGUUGAAACAUCUUGAGCAAAAUGUUAGUGAGAGCAUUUCUGCAGCAUCCUGCUGACUGAAUUGCUGCCGCGUUUGCCAUCUGCCUGCAAGCUCACAGUGGUAAUUAUAGUGAGUCUUGCAAGUGCUGGAAUGGGAGGUAUGUCAAAUGCAUUUUCCUUCUUUUUGAAGGUAAUUUUCAUUUUCUCAACUCAUUUGAAACUGCAUAUGAUUAUCAGCUGCAGGUGUGAGAGCCACACAGAAGACAGACGUGUACACACCCACAGAGCAAGAUACCAACUCUGAGUGUCCAGAAGAGCUUACAUACUAAUCUUGGCACUUCUAAAUUAAAUGUAAUGCCGGAGAAAAUUCCCUCAUUACUGCUCCUGUCCUUGUGGAUAGAAUCUUAAUGUCUCUCUCUCUCUCGUUUUUUUUUUUUUUUUUUUUUUUUUUUUUUUUUUUUUUUUGUAAUUGUAUAAAAAACAUUUGAUUUGGGUGACAUUCACUGGAAUAAAAUGCACUGGAAUAGUAACACAUAUAUUAUAAAAGCUACUGAAAGUGGAAGUCACAUCCCAUUUGCUAAAACUUCCAGGGGUUUGAGUUUUAGCUGAGUUGCUGCCAUUAUAUAUGUCAGUUGUUUCAAAACCUUGCAGGGUUAAAAAGGAUUGUGGGGAGCAGGGAGAGGGAACUGAAGUAGGUGGUAUUAACAGCCUUCCUCUGGUUGCUGCAGGCAUUUCAUUUAGUUGCCAUUCAGAGCACCUGAUUGUAUUCUGCGUGGUCGGUGGAGAAAAGAGAGGAGAUUUGGAUCCAGCAUUGGACAUGAGAGCUGGUCCUAAGGGGCUGCUCCGGACCUUCAGGAGUCUGCCCGUCCUCAUGGGAAAGCCACUUCUCAGGCUUGUGGCUGGGAUUCACCUUGCAGAUGUAGAAGAGCAAGUGGGCAGAAGGAAGACUCACUUAUCACCAUGUAUCUUCUUUCACGAUCUGCUGGGAAAACUGGUGGGAGAGAGGCAUGAGUAG